This 2382-nucleotide unclassified non-coding RNA is filed under the name Hevea brasiliensis (rubber tree). Lineage: Eukaryota; Viridiplantae; Streptophyta; Magnoliopsida; Malpighiales; Euphorbiaceae. The record is from RNAcentral.
GGGGAGAAAAUUAAAGGAAAAAGGCUGAAAAAAACGCCAUAGCAGAUUCUUUGGGUUUGGCUCUAUCUCAAGAUUACCCUUUGAUCUGACGACAGAAAGAGAAAACGAAAAUAAUUGGCGAAAACCAAUUAAACCUAUACAGGGAAUGCCAAUGGUUACAAACGAGUGAAGAGACAGCGAUGCAUCUGAAAAAACCGUUAUGGAGCUCCGGAUUGAAGGAUAGCUCAAGGGAAGCUGAUCCUCAGGCGCAAGCAUCGGCCACCGCGGUGGAGGAGUUAGUUAACUCUUUGAACAAGCAGCGCUUGUACAAAGAGGUCACUCUCGCCCUUCGAACUAGCCUCAGAGACGCUAGCGCCGAAUUCUCCUUCCUCCGCCUCCGCGGCCUCCGCUCCCUCCUUAACUUCCUCCGAUCCGUGGCACAGUCCGACUCCGCCAUUAACCUCUUCUGCCAAACCCAAUCUAUACCUGAACUUCAAGUGGUUCCAGUUCUGUUUCGACAUUCUCUCAAGGAUUCAGAGGAUGAGAAGGUGGAAAGUUUGAAUCAUAUAUUCGGGGUAGAGCCUAUGAACAUUACUGGUCCUUCAACAGGUGCAGAGGUUGCGCUUGCACUUAGAGUUCUGGAAGGUUGCUGUCUUCUCCACAGUGAGAGCACGAAGUUGGCUCAUCAACACAAGGCUGUUGAGGUUUUGUUGCAUAUAUUAUCAACUAGAGGUGCAUCGGAGCAAGGUGCCUGUUUGGAUGCUCUAAUCUCAAUAAUGCUGGAUUCAUCAUCCAAUCAAAUGGAUUUUGAGGUUUGUAAUGGUAUUGAGGAAGUGACAGUGCUCAUUAGGGACAAGCAAGUGGAUGAAAAUCUCAGGUAUUCAUCAUUGUACUUCAGCCCAACGCUCCUUUCCUUUAUAUUUUGUAAUAUUUGACAUAAUGCAUUUAUUAUUUGUAAUAUCAAGAAUACCAAUGAGGAAAAAGGGAAACCUUGCAUAUACCCAAUAAAUUUUCUUAGUUGUUAGAACCAUUAAACACAAUAUUGAUACCCAAAGACCCCCAAGUGCUCUAUUUAAAACUAUGUAUUCAAAACAAAUACAGCCAUCAGUUGAUUUUUCUCCCCAUUUAUUCUUUUUAUCUUGUCAUCAUCAGAUUAUGGGGGUUUACCUGAAACCCCAAGUCUUGCAUCAUUAUUAAAUUCCAUUAAAAAUGUUUAUCAAAUGUUAAAACAUAAAGGAGACUGCCAAAUGUUUAUCAAAUGGCACUAUUAACAAGGGCACUCCUAUUAUGACAGCUUUAUAAUAAAUUUAAAGAUAUGUUAACUAAAUUACCCUUGGUUAAUAAUGCUGUUAAAACACUUUACUUCCCCUCAGCAAAUUGUUGUUUUUAUCAAUUUAUGGGAUCAUGUCUCUCUCUUUCAUUGUUUGUUUGAAAAUAUGUGACCAUGUCCCUAUCUUUCUCUAUGACCUAAUUGAAUCAAUCUAAAAGAUAUCCUUAAUGAAAGCCAUUUUAAAAAAAAUAAUUCAAAUUAUAUUUCUCCACAUUCAUAAGAAUUGAUGUUUCUCCACUCAAUUUUUGCAUCGUAAGCAACAUGCUUAUCUCUAAAUUCAAGCUUCAACCAAUAGAGGGAUCUUAUAAAUAAAUAAAUGGAAUCUCUAACUUUAAGCUUAGCAACCAAUCAGUUUCUCUCCAAAAUCACAUGAGGUAGAAUCUUAUAAUAGCAGUCCUGUGAAAUUUAAAAAUGGAGAAAAAAAGGGAUAAAGUUCUAGAACACCUGAUAGGUUGGUCUAUGCUGGUUUUUGUCAUUAGUUAGUGAGGUGCAUUAUAGUCCCAAUCUAUACGGAAUUGGAGAUCGGAAAGAACACAGAUCUCAUGAUGUGUAAGAGAGAGAGAGAGACAGAGAAGAGAAAACAGAAUUUUAGGGAGAAAAGUAAUCUGUAUUAUUCAUUCUAUAAUCUGUCAAUACAACCUAUAUAGUAUCUAUACUCUCUUGCCUACAAUUAUUUCUGAAUCAGUUACAUUUAACUAAUUCUAGUGACAUUCAAAUUCUCACAGCUGCUCCCUCUAAUUCAGUCCCACAGCUCAGCUUAACUACACUCACUUGACCCAGCUCCAUUCCUAACAGCAUCUAGCUGAAUGAGAACAUGAAAAGUUACUGGCAAUGUUGUAGGCAUGUUAAAUAAGGGAGCUAGUGCGUACAAAUUAAAUUCCAUCUUACCUUUUCUCAGUAGCUUAAAGGCUCCAACAGUUACUUGAUUAUGAGCUAAUAGGCAAUGGUAGUGCUGCACUUGAUUUGACAAUUACUUGUGUAGCAGCAGAUGGCUAUUUUUGGAGUAAGGAAAUACAAUUCUUCUUGGCCUGCAAUUCAUAGAAUAUAGUUGCACAAAACAAGUCCCAAUAACU